This 574-nucleotide long non-coding RNA is filed under the name Equus caballus (horse). RNAcentral describes it as "lncRNA (ENSECAG00000053098.1)". The record is from RNAcentral. Lineage: Eukaryota; Metazoa; Chordata; Mammalia; Perissodactyla; Equidae.
CUCAGGCUCUGGUUUGGCCAUUUCUGGACUGUUUCAUCAUUGGUCCUUAGAACUCUGGACGUGAGAAGGAGCCUUGUAUAUCCUUUGAAUCAUGGAGGAAGUUUAGGACAAUGAACAAAAUGUGAGCUGCCCCCAUAUUUGCUGCUUCUGUAUCUAUCCAGCUGUGUAGAGAUGUUGGCCAACAGUAACCCAGUCCUCAUUGAUUCUUUCUGAAGCAGAAAAGGUAACUGAAGAUGAAAGUUAAAGCAAAUUGCCCAACAUCUCCCACUGGGUCAAAAAGAGGCCCUGAACUGAGAUUGAAGCCCAGUCCGCCUGACUGCAGAGCCCAGCUGCACCCCAAACUCCGUCCGAAUGCUGGAAUUACCCCCCCGCCUUCACCAGGGCCACCUGCCUGCAGACACUGCCUGCAAACUGCUCAAAAGAUGCCCAGGAGAAGAGAGAGGAGCAAAAGACGUCCCUAAUUUCCAUACCCGGCAAUCCGCUAUACAAACUCUCUAGUAACUCUUAAAUGCUAUUGGAAGCAAUUAAAUAAAAAUCCUGGGAUAAUGACUUGUUUUUAACAUUAGAGCCUAAA